Molecule: small nucleolar RNA, 100 nt
Organism: Rattus norvegicus (Norway rat)
Lineage: Eukaryota; Metazoa; Chordata; Mammalia; Rodentia; Muridae
Product: small nucleolar RNA SNORA17
Source: Ensembl
CCUGCAGGUGGCUGCAGUGUAGGCCGCAGAGAGGUGGGAGUCUAUGUCUACGCUCAGUGUUCUGACCUAUGUACAUCUGAAUGAUUAACAGCCUACCAUU